CGGGGCGUAGCUUAGCUUGGCUAGAGCGCAGCGUUCGGGACGCUGAGGCCGGAGGUUCAAAUCCUCUCGCCCCGACCA
This 78-nucleotide transfer RNA is filed under the name Planctomycetota bacterium. RNAcentral describes it as "Planctomycetes bacterium (bioreactor metagenome) tRNA-Pro". It matches the Rfam family "tRNA". From Rfam's summary of the family: Transfer RNA (tRNA) molecules are approximately 80 nucleotides in length. Their secondary structure includes four short double-helical elements and three loops (D, anti-codon, and T loops). RNAcentral also lists the same sequence under 1 other name. Lineage: Bacteria; Pseudomonadati; Planctomycetota. The record is from RNAcentral.